This 675-nucleotide ribosomal RNA is filed under the name bacterium 02-L049659-122-016-B01. RNAcentral describes it as "bacterial SSU rRNA". It matches the Rfam family "Bacterial small subunit ribosomal RNA", at positions 56 to 743 of the family's 1533-position model. The record is from RNAcentral.
UGCAGUCGAACGAUGAUGCCCAGCUUGCUGGGCGGAUUAGUGGCGAACGGGUGAGUAAUACGUGAGUAACCUGCCCUUGACUCUGGGAUAAGCCUGGGAAACUGGGUCUAAUACUGGAUACUACCUCUUACCGCAUGGUGGGUGGUGGAAAGGGUUUUACUGGUUUUGGAUGGGCUCACGGCCUAUCAGCUUGUUGGUGGGGUAAUGGCUCACCAAGGCGACGACGGGUAGCCGGCCUGAGAGGGUGACCGGCCACACUGGGACUGAGACACGGCCCAGACUCCUACGGGAGGCAGCAGUGGGGAAUAUUGCACAAUGGGCGGAAGCCUGAUGCAGCGACGCCGCGUGAGGGAUGACGGCCUUCGGGUUGUAAACCUCUUUCAGUAGGGAAGAAGCGAGAGUGACGGUACCUGCAGAAGAAGCGCCGGCUAACUACGUGCCAGCAGCCGCGGUAAUACGUAGGGCGCAAGCGUUGUCCGGAAUUAUUGGGCGUAAAGAGCUCGUAGGCGGUUUGUCGCGUCUGCUGUGAAAGCCCGGGGCUCAACCCCGGGUCUGCAGUGGGUACGGGCAGACUAGAGUGCAGUAGGGGAGACUGGAAUUCCUGGUGUAGCGGUGAAAUGCGCAGAUAUCAGGAGGAACACCGAUGGCGAAAGCAGGUCUCUGGGCUGUUACUGA